UCGAGCGGUAGGCCCUUCGGGGUACACGAGCGGCGGACGGCUGAGUAACGCGUGGGAACAUGCCCCAAAGUGAGGGAUAAGCUCGAGAAAUCGAGUCUAAUACCGCAUAUGAUCUUCGGAUUAAAGGAUUUAUCCGCUUUGGGAGUGGCCCGCGUACGAUUAGGUAGUUGGUGAGGUAAAGGCUCACCAAGCCCACGAUCGUUAACUGGUCUGAGAGGAUGAUCAGUCAGACUGGAACUGAGAUACGGUCCAGACUCCUACGGGAGGCAGCAGUGAGGAAUCUUCCACAAUGGGCGAAAGCCUGAUGGAGCGACGCCGCGUGCAGGAUGAAGGCCUUCGGGUUGUAAACUGCUUUUAUAAGUGAAGAAUAUGACGGUAACUUAUGAAUAAGCACCGGCUAACUACGUGCCAGCAGCCGCGGUCAUACGUAGGGUGCAAGCAUUAUCCGGAGUGACUGGGCGUAAAGAGUUGCGUAGGUGGACAAGUAAGCGAAUAGUGAAAUUUGACGGCUCAACCGUACAAACUAUUAUUCGAACUGCUUGUCUCGAGAAUGGUAGAGGUAACUGGAAUUUCUUGUGUAGGAGUGAAAUCCGUAGAUAUAAGAAGGAACACCAAUGGCGUAGGCAGGUUACUGGACCAUUUCUGACACUGAGGCACGAAAGCGUGGGGAGCGAACCGGAUUAGAUACCCGGGUAGUCCACGCCGUANACGAUGGAUACUAGCUGUUGGAGNUAUCGACCCCUUCAGUAGCGAAGCUAACGCGUUAAGUAUCCCGCCUGUGGAGUACGGUCGCAAGACUAAAACAUAAAGGAAUUGA
This 817-nucleotide ribosomal RNA is filed under the name uncultured bacterium. Its description in RNAcentral is "bacterial SSU rRNA". It matches the Rfam family "Bacterial small subunit ribosomal RNA", at positions 62 to 913 of the family's 1533-position model. The record is from RNAcentral.